AAAUACGAUAGGAAAUGUCAGUACACAUGGCAAAGGAUUUCUGGUUCUUUACCACAAAGCAAAAUAUUUUUAAAAGUUCAGAAUUUCUAUGUGGUUUAGAGCAUUUUAUUUUUUGCAUUCCAAAUUGGUUAAAAGUUGGUACAGUACAUGAUCUAACUAAAACGGUUUCUCUUUUACUCAAUAAUCAUAAUUAUUGUCAUAAAUUUGGGAAGAAUUCAAGUCAUUUAUUUACUCAAUUAUUCAAUUGGCUUUUUUCCCUUAAUUAUCUUGUCUGGCCAGUGUUGCUAAAGGCACUGUGGAGGAUUUUAUAAAAGGAGAAAAUGUGAUCUUUCCCUCAUCAACUAUAGUGUAAUUGGAGAGAGAAAAAGAACUCUGAAGAACUAAUUGGAUAAUAUAAUAAAAUUACUCUUAGUAAUCAUGCUUCAGUACUGUGAAGGGAGAAGCUAUUUUAUCACAGGUAGAAAACAGUAUUAACAAUCAAAUGUAGCUUUUUGGCUCAGAAUAUUGUUUCAGAUUAUUUGUUGUAAAAACAAUAAUAAGAACAUGUAGAAUAAAGGCCAGUUCUUGAAAACAGAUUUUACAAUGAUCAGUUGAUUUCAUCAGCAAAUUUUUCAUUUCACCAGGACUUAAAAAAAAACAAUGAACUGUGUUGCCUGGUUAGUUGUUAAUUCAACUGUCCAAAACUUAAAAAUGCCUUAACAAUUUAUAAUUAAAUAUGUGGGGGGGGGGUGAAGUUUACCAUUGCCUUAAUUGUACUUCAAGAUACUCUUCAAAAUUUGAAGACAGACAUAAAUUGAAAUAUUUUUAGAAAUACUUUAACUUCCUAGCUAUCUUGAGGAAACAGGCUAACACAUUCUAUGAGGUAGAAAACUUUUCAAAGCUGUCUUUAACAACAUCCCUGUGUGUAUGAAGCCUUGCUUUGCUCUCUGGGAGAAAUAUUACACCAGUCAUUCAAAUAGAUAAAAACAUUAUUCCAAAUAAAACCCAACAUUGAGCAAAGAGCUUUGGGAUUGGCUCAAGUUUUAUUUUCUAUCUCAAAUAUAAAAUUUUAAGUUUUUAAGGAAAAGCAACAACUUUGCCUGUAGAUUAUCAUUUUCCAAAGCCAAAGAUGAGUCAGCCAAAAAAUUUCAAAACUUUAUUUAAUAAACCUUAAAGUGUUUCCCCUUAGUUACAUUGACAACUGUGUUGAAAAGCCCAGUGAUAACUUAAAUAGCCUCUUCUUUCACCUUGAGUGGUUUAUACUUUGUAGACAUAGAGAGAAGAACCUUGACCACUUUUGUUUUCUCUGCUCAGGAAAGGAAAGAAUCAGAUAGAAAAAUGCACACCACAUUCCUGCCAGACCUUGCCUAUGGACAGUGUAUGGCAUCCACUAAGUGAGGAAGACGAAUGUUCGCAUUUUUAGGGGCUGAGGGGAGGGAACAGCAAAGAACUGGUUCUCCUGUGUAUCCUAGCAUGUGAAUGAACUGAUACUAGACAUAUCACAGGGAGAAUCAGACAGAAGGAUACUUAAUGAGAUCCACUCAAAGACCAGCAUCCUCUCUAGAACCCAGCAGUUCUUGAUUCUCAGUGUCUUUGGGAAGCAGGGUUCACCAUCUACCUGUUUAAACAGGUAAUGAGAGCAAAGGCAUGACACACAUCCCUGUGAUUUUUGAAUGUCUUCACUGCCCCCAAAUAAGGAACUCCUCCCACUGCUGUCUGCUCUAAGCUGCAUUUCAUUUUGAUAGCCAUUUGCCGUAGGCACUUUGGAACUCCAUGCAAUGCAAGAGAUAUGGUUGAGAAAUUCUUCAAUGGGAUUUCUCCCUACUCCCCAGUAGGGGAUUCAGAACAUGAUUAGAGACUUUGAGACAUUCUAUUUAGCCUACUUCUAAAACUACACAUUUAGGCUCACACCAUUAGAAGAAAAAUGAAACAAAUCAGAAAAAGAAAAAAAAACUCGAGAAGGACAAAGUAUUCUACAUCAGGGAAUAUGGAAAAUGGUUAAAUUUGUGAAAUCAGAAGAGAUAAAAGAAAAUAUUUGGAAAAAAAAAGAUCAAGUUUCUCUUGAAUUACAGAUUCGUUGAGUCUCAGUUUUACUUUCACUUGCUAAAUCAUGACAUCCACUGUCGUCUUCAAAUUUAAUUUUAGUGUCAUGCCUCUAAAAGUAAAUAUGUUUUAGCAUCAACAUCCUCACCUUGCUUAUUCUUUCUAGGGGACGACACACGUCUUUGGCCCAUCUUUGUCAUGCUCACUUGUAACAAUUUAACUUUAGCAUCAUUUACUCAUUGUCAUACAGUUCUUUCUCCCAAUAAAGUAGCCGCAGUGUUUUGGUUAAUGGUGCUUCUAAUGGCAAAUACAACUUUUUGUGCUUCAUCUUGAAAUAUUUAAAUGCAAAAUCGAAAUUAGAGUGCUAUAUCAAAUGUCUAAGAGCACAGAGCCUUUUUCUUGCACCUUUGGUGAAUCCACAUCUCAUCAGUAAUCAGUGUCAUUUUCAGGUUCAUGCUCAUUUUUAACGCUAUACCGACUGGCCAUGGUUUUAGUCAUUUUUUCCUUUUGAGUUUAGUGCUCUGUGAUUAGAGCACCUUGAAUGUUUUUUGAAAACCUAAUAGUCUAACAUUUGAAUACACACUUUGGAAGAAAGGAUUAUUAAAACGCAGACAUCCUUCAGUGUUCACCAAGAUGGUCUUCGGAGAAUCUUCUCAGCUGACAUAUUUUCUUGUUCACUUUGGGGCUCUAAGUUAAGCAGCAGCCUUUGAGGUAGGAAAGUUUUAGUCUUUGGAUUCAAACCAAAUUGUUUUCAAAUCCCACACCUACCGUUACCUUGGACCAAUUGUUUAGCAUCAUUGAAACACAGUUUCUUCCUCUGCAAAAUAAGGAUUAUAGCACUCACCUUACUAACAUUCCUUGGCCAUUUCCCACAUCCCAGACACCAUACUCACACGGCUAUAUACUGUCAUUAUCCACAGUUUACAAAUUACCACAUUGAGGCUUGGAGAGGUAAAGAAAACCCACUUAGGCAUACGUAAUUGUUAAGUGGUGGGGCCUCUUGUUGGUUCUUUUAUUUCUGUAGAAUUUGUUUUUUAGGAAAGGACUUGCAGGGUCAAAAGGUAGGUACAAAAUAAAUUUUUGUAACGUCAUUUAGUUUCAGGCACUUGACUAUGAGAUGCAGUACUGAAGCUGUAAUUUGUAUUUCUCCAUGUUGCUGCAUUAGGGACUGAUGCUAUUUGAGAGUGUGCUUUGUAAGUGGCCAUGGAGAGCUAUAUACUACGAGAGCCGCUUUAUGCUUUUCUUCUUGAAGAUGGUGAUGGUGCUCUCAUCUUGAUGAGCACAACUCAUUUUCAGUAAAGAUUCUGGAUAAAGGGCUGUUGCAUGGAAUUGAAUGCUAGUCUACAAGGCAAUUGUUCUGCCUUCGAUGAAGAGUGGAUGCCAUUUCCAGAAGAGCUUGACAUUCUCAGGGAAGAGUUUUACAGCCUUGAAGAAUAUGUGUGAUUUGUAUGAUUCUUGAUAAAGAAAAAAAAAACCGAGAGUUAUAUACUAGAAAUUUAAAACUUCCAUUCUGUUGUGGCUUCAUCUGCGGCCCGUUCCCUACUCGCAAGACACUACUAACUUCAGCGUCUUCUCCUACUUCACCUUCAGGCUCUUGAAGUCUGUGCGAUGCCCAAGUGUGUAUAGAAACACAGAAAUAGCACAGUCCCUUUUGUUAAGAAUAACACAUCAGUUUUCUUUCCUUGCUUUUGUGUGCUCUCUGGAGUUCACCCAUGCAUGAUGUUCCAGUUGACUUCAAAGACAAGUCUGUGGUUGGAUUAGCUCCACAGGACAGGCAGCAAGGUAAGAAACAGGCUUAGUGCUUUCAAAGCCUACUGGGGAACUGAUAGAGCCAAGCUGUGUGGUUACCAAGACAGCUUAUUCAUUAUGUCCUCCCAGAAGAACAGGUAAAUUUGCAUAAUACUUUCUAUUUUGUCACUACUAAAAUUAUUUUUUAAAUGAUGACUGGUCAGUACCCAAAAAGGUUGACUUAUAGCUAUAUAAUUCCUGCACUUGGGGAGUUUAGUGUCUAAUAAAGGAGACACAGAUAUAAUAAAUUUGGAGUGAGAAAAUGCCGCUAAAGUCAUGAAGGUAGAAAACAUGCAAAUCAUAGGGUAAUUUUAGGUAUUAAAAAAAGGGAUGACUUAGCGAGUGGUAUGUGCUUAAGAAAUUGCAACUAAGGUACGUUUGCUUUCCAGACAUUGCCAGCAAAGGUAGACUUAUUACAGAACCCUAGAGCCAGGCAUUGCAUCACAAACUUAGGUCACACUUUGGGAGAUGGCUUAGUAAUGAGAGAGGCAUGGUUGAAUGAUGUGGGCAGUGAGAUGAUUUCCCAAAGAAGAAUAUGGCAGACUGGAGAGGGUAAAGAUACAGAGCAGACAGGGAAGUGUGAAGUGCCCCAUGACCUGUGAAGCUGGGAGAGUCUGCAAAAUAAAAUGGAACUGCCUUUGAUUCGGUCCCUGGAAAAUAGGGAAGCAACCCUAGCAGUUCUGCUGAGUGUUGACCAUAGCCUUAUUCUUCAAGUUUGAAAGCCACGUAAAGGCAGAUGAAGAGUCUUAAUUUUCAGAAAUCAGAGGACCAGAUAAAACAGGCCACAAUAAUUCAGGAGAGCCACUGCCAGGUCUUGGACUGAGAUUGUAGACGUGACGUUUAAAAAAAAAAAAAAAGGCUGUAAAUUUAAUAGAUAUGAAGGAAAUAAUCAUACAAAAUAACAACAUUGACAAAACCCAACACCAUGGAAGGAGGACUGAGAAACAGUAAAGGAUAGAAUUAAAAAUUGCCUGAAGGAGGAAUUACAGGUAGAGCAAGAAUGAGUGAAGGUAUCCAGCAAGUUCUCGAAAGAGGACCAAACAUACUUGUUGCAUAUUUUUAUUUCUGUCUCGGAAUGAAGAAGAAAGAGAAUACAGCUAUGUCUUUGCACUUUGAUUUAUUCCAUUUCAAAUCCAGGAUCACAGAGAAUUACCAUAUACUAACAUAUUGAAGUUAUGUAGGGCUAAAAGUACUUUUUAAUUACGCGGCUCGUACACACGAGUGCUUUGUGGUCAUUUUAUUUGGCAUUGUAUAGGGAAACACUACAAAGAGAAACUGCUGUCUGUGUGGUACCCAAAGGCAUAGACUUUGUAUUACUGAACCUCAGACUGAAUCUCGACUGUGGUUAUGUUCUAGUGAAUAGAGCAGAAACAGAAAUGAAUCAUUUGUCUCCAGAAAUUGUCACUCUGACUUUGCUUUUGAAAACACUGGCAUGUGUACUGUGGCUGGAACAAUCCUGCUUUGGUUUGUCAUCAAACACUUCAUAUUGGACUUUGAAAGGGAAGAAAAAUAUUGUGUGAUUCAAAUGAGCUCUUCAUUUGAAAAAAGAAAAAUGUAUGUGUGCUCUCAUCCACUGAUUUUACAAUUACUUAUAAAUUUUAAAUGUAGUUCAGAUCUCCUUCCUGAGUUUAGGCUCAAUAUUCAACUGCCUGCACUGUCCAUCGGGUACCCUCCAACCCAACAUAUGUACACUGACCCUCUCGUUCUUCUGAAACCUGCUCUCCGUAGUGUUCUGUGGGGCUGCUAAACUACAAACCCGGGGGGCAUUUUUGGCUUCUCAUUUCCCACUUCUGUUCUUUUCCCACCUCAAACCCAUUACCAGGACCUGCUAAUCUUCCAUCUUAAAUACUUCUUGAAUCCGACUGUCCUGCCCAUUGUCACCACCACUGCUACAGUUCAGACCUGCUGCCAUUUGCUGUGGUUUAUCUCUUGCCUGGCCAUCUGCACCAUUUGAAUAGGCUUUCUUCCCCCAGCUUUGUCACCAUCAAAUCCAUCAUACGUACAACUAUUUUAAAGCUUGAUUUAUCCACAUUUCAGAGAUAUUAUUUUUCAUACCAAGAAGUAGCACACUGAGCUUUGCUGUCCCCCAAAAUAUGACAAAUGCUAUUUUCUCAGGCAAAAGGGUGAGGUUUAUUUUUUGUUAAUGAAAUGCCAGACAAGCCCAGCCAACUUGCCAGGCAUAAUUAAAUUGGAGCCUCUUUGGCAGUUAACUCCAUCCAUGCAAAUGUUUUGCAAAAAUUCAUUUUAAACGAUUUUUUUUUUGCCAGAUUUUUUUCAGGAUAACGUUGGGAUAUUCAGGAAUCGGGGCAUUCUCACAACAUUAUAAACAUUUCUAAAGGCUGGUUAAAUAAGCUCCAUUAUUAUCCAAAUCAUUCAAAUCCAGCCUUUCUUUCUACCCCUACCACAGGCACCAAAACUUCAGCACUUGGCCCAUGUGGGUGUGAAUGAAGUGGCAAAGUUCAGAUUUAAAAACAUUGCUUGAAAGUCAUUUCAUUUCUAUUUCCUCUAUGUUUUACAAUACUACUUAUCCACGAUCUCUUUUUCUUCUUCCUAGUAUCAGAGAGGGAACAAACACAUUCCUUAAGAACUCUGUAGAAUAUCCUACAGAAGUAGAUCCCCCAAAAGAACACACCAAAAUGGAAAAUAGACAAAUAUGUACAUCCUGUUUUUCAAGCAUACCAUCCAAUUUUAAUUAAUACAAUCUCCAUUGUGUCUUACCUCUUCUGUUGUAACUCAAAACUAGCCAUAGAUAAUGUAUAAACAGAUGAGUGUGACUGUGUUCCAGGGAAGCUUUAUUUGUACAAACAGGUGGCAGACUGGAUUCGGCCCACUAAUCAGAGUUUGCCAAGUCCUCAUUAACUCAUUACUUCUGUUAGUAACUCUUCUAUUUUGAUUUUUAAAGUUGUGGACCUAAAGAUGAAUGCUUACUUCUAUAAUGAAUAAAAUUUUAGGUUAUAUCAAAGACAAACGCAUGAAUUCUUUGAUGGUUAGAAAAGAUUAAUUUUUAAGAACUUUUCUGUAUUUGAAGUUACGGCUUACGCAAUUGUGUGAAUAGAUGAUAAUUCAUCUCCUGCUCUCACCAUGACCAAAGUGCCUGGUUUGUGGUAGAGGCAUAGUUUUGAACAAAUAAACGGUUAGAGCCAACCCAUAAGUCAAGUUGAUCAUAUUGUAGACAAAAUAUCAGAUCCAAGUUUUAAGACUCUCAGAUCUUCGUGUUCUGUUACUUCAAAUGAUCCCGGCUUAGCUGCACUGAUGUGGGAUAAAGAAGGCUGCCCCUGGCGGUGGAAGCAGCACAUGUUUCCCCCUGCAUGUGUGCUCAGAAGCUGGUGGGGAUUGUCCAGGGAAAGCCUGUGUGGAUAGGUUGAGAAUGAGUAGGGUAUGGUUUUUUCUCUAGACCCAUUACAAACAAGAAGGAAAACCCUUUUAGCUGUGAAUGUGGGCUGACAAACAUGAUGGAUUUACUAGUCUUUUGACUCCUUAGAUCUGAGGUCAUUGUGGGCGCAAUGUCCUCAAUGAGGCUUUGAAAGUACUUGUGACUGGUAAACGACCAGAUGCCGGAAAAAAAGGUGCUAUUUACAGCAAUUAAAAUAUCUAUUCUACAGAACUCUGUGACCACCAUAGAUAGUAGUAGGCUUGAUUACAAAAUACUGGUAGUGUAUAUAUUAAUAUCAUUCCACGUUAACUGGUGUAAAUCUCCCUCAUUCUGUUUGUAAAAGCACUGCCCAUUGUAAAAUCACGUUAUACGUUUCUCCCCUCUCCACCAUAAACGCUGUGCUGUUCUGAUAGCAGUAUUCCAAAGUUGCUGUGUUAAUGAAUGAAGGAGAUGAAAACAGUCCUUCCCAUGUUGGGGAAAUGAACAUCUAUGUUUAUUAAUCUAGUUUUACUUUUAAUUGGUUCACGGUUGAUUGUUGAUAGCCUUGUGGAGUUUUACAACACUCUGCCAAAUGUGUCCUUGGUUCUUCCUUUGGCAUAUUUUUGUGUAAAUGUGUGCGUUUAUAAUUAUACAGCUAUAAGGGCCCCUGCUUGCAUACGCACACACAUGCACAUAUGCAGAUUUAUUAAUUUCAAGGAGAUCAUUCAGAUGGCCAGGCUCAGAGUAGAGGUCAUUAUGACAUGCAUCUGCCUUUUGUGCCAAUGACAUCCUGGCAGAUACAGCGUGCAAGUGUUAAGCCUGAGAAUACCCUACCAUUCUACAAUAAUUGCUACGUGUGUUUAGCCAUAUUAACAAAGAGUGUGUUUAACCUUCUACAGAAGAAACCUUUAUACCUUACUAUUCAGAGACAGCUAUUUUUAAAAUUUCCAAACUCACUUGCAGCUCUGUCCUCUGCAAGAUCUUCCUAUCUAUUCCAGCCAUAUCAAACUAUGCCAAAAACAGAAGAAAACAAGAAGAGACUGUAUAUGUCACUCAUGUUGGCUGAGAGAUAAGCUGAGAAAGCAAGAAUUGGAUGAUGGAGGAAUAAAUGUACCAUUGCCAGAAAAAGAACUCUUCUCUUUCAAGCCAUAUGUAACUUAUCCAUUGUAAACUGAGGAAGACUAUUAAUCGUAAUCACUAUAAUUACUUACCUUACAUUUGUCUAUGCCAAUAACUUACAAAAAGCCUUCCUCAAAUUUGAAUUCACUUCCUCUUUUUUGACAGUCCCAUCAAUUAGUCAGGCUAGAGUUUAAUAUUUCUUCCCUGUUUCCCACCUCUGCAAGUUACUUCCUGCUGUUCUUUCCAAAGCUGGUGUGCCAGAUGUGGAGAAACAGAGCUCCUGCCUCGGACACCACCCAGAGGUUGCUAUGUUUGGGCAACAUGCUUGCUGAUGUGUUAGAAUGUGAAAAUUUCUGCUGUGGUUAACAUCCCCUUUGAGAGAAUACAAAUCACUUAAAAGCUCAGGGCAGAUAACUUAGAAUUAUCAAGGCGAUGCUACUUUUUUGAAAUAGAGACAUGUGACAGUAUUAAAAAUGGAUAGUAUGGAUUAAUUCCUAAAAUUUAUUCUCAGUUAUAUCAUAGAGUCAUUUCAAUUCCCUUCAUUUCUCUAGUAAAUUAGCCACUGAUAAUCAUAAUUAUGACACUUAGGUACAGUAAGACAAUGAAAUGCCUCCUGAAUUAUUAAGAAGUGUUAAUUUAUGUCUACCCUGUUAUGUCGUUUCGAGUAUUCUACUACAUUAUCAUUUCUUGAAAAUUGGUCACCUGUACAUAUGAUAUAUACGUAAGAUUAAAUUUUAGUAAUGGUAAUUUUUUUUUUAGAAGAAAGCCUUAUUCCUAGUGUUGAAUAAACAUGAUUAUGUUUUAUAUGGUUAUUUCACCUAGAUUUCUGUUUAGUGUCCAUGACUUAGUUGCUCAUUAGGCACAGGUUGUUAUCUGGGAAAAAUAAUGCCGAGCAUUUGUAUGAUGCUUUAUUACAAACUAAUGCUUUCAUUGUCACAUACACUGUCCAAUUUAUUAUAUAAACUUCAAAAGGUAUUAUUACCAACAUUUUAUAAAGUAAGCCUCAGGGAGCGUAAGUGGUUUGCUCAAAGCCACAUGGCUAACGAGUCGUAGCGAAGAAACCCAAUCCCAUCUAUCCGAGUCAAGAAUGUUUUCCAUCAGCCACAGCCAUCUCAGAAACCCGUCUCCCAGAAUUUGUUGGGCGGCUUCAGCCUGCAUGGGCCUCUCUACUUGUGAACCCACCUGGCAGAGUUUUUUUCUAGAGCUUGUCAGAGGAGCUGUUACCAACCAACAAAUCUGAGAUUCAGAAAAUGUGCUGUAAUCCCCAUUAUCAGUGAAAAGGGCUAAUGUCUCCAAUAUUAGAUUGCAUUCCAUCCACCUGGGGAGGUGCAUAGAAUGCAUCAUUCUGCAGAGGGAUGACUUCAUUUAUCCAACAAUACAACCAAAGACUGUGCUAAAGCAGGACCCUUUGUCAUAGCUUUUUACCGUAUAUGACGAUAGUAAGCUUUGAAAGGAACUAUAGCUGUGGGCAUUCUCCAUUUACCUUGGAUACAAAACAGAUUUUCUGCUUUUAAUGAAAAGAACAGGCAGUGCCCAUUCUAAGGAGAGAGUGUGAAAUAAGAGAGAGCUCAGAACGCAAGGUUUUAUCAUCACCUCCUGGUUUUAUUUUUUCCAUUCUAAUCAGAAACCUGCUUUGAAACAAGCUGUCCUGAUAUUAAUAAGUGAUAUAGAAAAGUCACUGCCUUGAACAUGCUUGUAUGAAAAGUGGCACGAGAAGAUGAGGGACACCUCAGAUUAAGAAGUGCCUUCGCCUUUAAUAAUUAAUUAGAAGGAACAAACAGUGCCUGGGAGGCAGGGCUGGAUUCAGAGAAAUAGAAAUCUGAAACAUUAGGACAGACUGCUGUUUUUCCUGAGAUACAGCUGAUGCUGAAUGCACAUUUCCAACUGGAAUAAAGCUGGUAACAAAGUCUUCCUACACUCAUCCAGUCUGGAAUAAUAAGGAGAAAUGUCUCUUGAAUUUAUUAAGCCACUUCUAAUUAUUUCUGACAUGUCAAACAUACUGGGGAUAGAGAGAAGAGAAGAAGAUUGGGGGGAAACUUUUUUUAAUGUGAUGUGAGUCUCCAAAGAAUUGAACAACUGGCCCCAGAAAUCAUCAUUUUUGUGAGUAUGACACUGCCGCUUAAUAAACCAACAGGAAAUAUUGAAAGGAAUUCUGUCCACAUUCUAGAACUAGUGUAAUUUCCAACAAUGCAGUGUAAUGGCAAGAUCAAGUGUGAUGUCAUGCUGUACAACAUCUAAUUCUGUGAAAUUAGAAAACUUGAGAAGGAAAGGGAAGGAGAAAUAUGUCAGGGUGGAAUGGAGGGAAGGGUGUAGGAAGCCUGAGGUUCCAGUUCUGUCUCAUCUGACCUUACUGAUAUGCAAAUUAUUCCACUGAGUCAAAGUAGCAGAGGUGAAACAAUCAAGGUUUCCGAGGAAAAGAAUUUCCAGCUUCACCACAGAAAAUGGCAAGUUUUGCAUUGGAAACGUCUGAGAGAGCAUCUGAAGUGUUGCCUCAUUAAAAUUUAUGAUUAGAAUUAAUUCACAUUCAUUUUGCUAAGAACCAAAUCCCCUGGGUGGAAUCUGUGUGGGGGAUCAUAAAAAAGGAUGAUGAGAAGUGACAGCAGGUCUGCGGAGUGGUCAGCGAGGAGCACUCGGCCGAGCUCAUCUUCCUCUUUCCCUUUUUUUCAACUUCCCAUUUGGUGUUUGGAGAUGAUUUGGUGUUUGGAGAUGAUUUGGUGUUGGGGAAUCAAUGUCAUUGGUUGGCAUUUGUGUAUGAUAUGAAAUAAGUAGGAUCCUUUUAAAAAUCACUCGGGUUAAAGUGUGGAUUUAAAUGGCUUUAAAUGAGACCCAAAUAUGUGGCAGUCAGAAUACUGCUGCAAGGAAAUGAGAAUUUCAUUUGUUAAAGAGAAUUUUGUGCCUGGCCCUGUGCUCCGCUGACCUCAUGGUGCUCGCAGAGCAUGGGAUACCUCUUGCACCGAGUUGCUGAAACCGUCCAUUUCCUUUGCUCCAGAUGUAUGAUCUCCAGUGAGAAACCAGACUGUGCUGUUCGGCUCCUCGUUGCCCCUCUUCUCCACAUCCUCUUGGUUGCAAAAUGCCGAGCCCAGCAUCUCCUCUACAUGCCUCUGUCGUCUGUGUAGAUAAUUCCCAGCUGAGGAUGCUGACAUCUCUUGCUAGGAGAAGUCAUUUGUUUCCCGGUCUCUCCAUUUUCCUUCAAAUAAUUCAAUUGCUAUCAGGAAAUUUAUUUCUUCUCUGACACUUUAGCCACCUUUUUAUACCUCCAUAACUUCUAAUCCUAGAAUUGCCCCUCACUCAAUGAUACUUAAGGCUGAUGACUAUUUCUGGGACACACCAUCCUUACCUAGAGAACUGUAGGCUGAUUAUUGCUAAAAUCUUAUAUCAGAAUGAAGGUCUGCUGGUCUGCGUAUUUAUAAGCCUCUGCCUUCUGAAGGUUGAUAGUGGUGAGCUUUUCCAGGUGCAGAUGUGGGAUUAAAAUUGAGACCUUGUGUUUCUGUCUCACCAUUGCUUUUUCUGUCUACUCUCUUAAUACCAGACGCGGCUACUCACUGACCCCUUUCUUUAAAAUUUUAAUUCUUGACUAAGGUGCUACUUUAUACAUCAAUACUUUCUUCCCCUCAGGAUUGCCAAAGAAUAUCCCAAGUCUGAGGCACUGAGAAAUGAGGCAAAUGUUCCCCUCCUCACUGCCAGCCCCUUGGGGACCCGCAUGUGGUUCCCAAGUCCCAUGGCGCCUGGACCACAAAAAAGCAAUUCAGUGCAUCCUGGGAAUAUCCAAGUGAAAGUGUGAGGUUUACCUAGAAUGGCUUCUACGUGGCUCUCCUGCAGGGCCGCAGGGCUCCUUGCUCUCUCGCUAGUGACCGUGUCCAUUUUAGAACUGACAGGAAAAAAGGUUUCAAUCUGUUCCUUUUCCGUUGUAUAACACUUACUGAAGCACUUGGUGCAUUCGGCAAGUCAUCUUCUUCCAGUACUCACAUUACCCUCUCUUUGCGAUGGAAAUUUCUAUUUCAGGUUCCUAAGCAGCCAUUUCUAAGUCUCUCAUGUGGGACUUGAACUUAAGCUUUUAAACUGUAGAGAAAGGAAGGGAGCAAAGAAAGAAAAGACAAGCUGGAUGUGUGGGCAGUUUUACUGCUGCUGAAUUGCACAGUUGUUAAAAAUUGCAUCUCUGCUGUCCAGGUCAAUUUCUCUUCAGUGACUCUGUGCAGAAACCUGGAUUAUAAUAUAAAAAACAAACAAGUAAGACAUCCUUUUAUGUUACUUAAAACCUAACUAUGUAGAAAAAUCUACUUCUGGAUCUUGGGGUAAGUGUAUGAUAACACUGUAAGCUCUGAUGCUUUACUGUGAUAUCCUGUAAUGUGCCUGUGCUCUCACCUAAUCGAGGGGAGUGAAGUUAUUUGUGGAGCUAUGUCACAGUGAAUUUUUAAGCCAGACUGUCCCUCAGCUGAAAGAAUUUCCUGUGAUCAUAACUGAUUUUCCUAAAAUCUGUAUUAAUGCUUUUACACUGCAGUGUAAAUGAUAAAAUCUUGAGUCUAGUUUAUACAAACCACAUGUAAUAAUAACAAUAGUGCGUAUUAAUUGAGUGCUUACUACAUGCCAUGCCCUAAGUUAAGCAUUUUAGGCACUAGUUUAUUUAAUCCUCACAACCCUAAGUGGUAAUACCGUUUUUAUUCCCAUUUUAUAGAUUAGGAAAUUAAGUCAGAGAGAGAUAAAUAACCUGUCACAUUUGCAAAAGGUAGUGUCAGGAUUUGACCUCAGGUGGCUCAACUCCAUUAGUCUGCUCCACUCAGAGGCUCUGUUUAAUCAUUGGUAUUCUUGCAGUUCCUUCCUGAUUUGGUGUUUUACACAUUCAGUGAGCAUCCUCCAGAAUCAAAAUUUUAAAGGAGUAAAUGGUUUCCCGAAGUGAUGAUCAGUGAGAAUCAGUUUUGCUUCUGAGUGCAUCAAACUUACUCUUUUUUUUAAAAUAUAUUUUUACUGAAGUACAAUCAGUUUACAGUGUUGUGUCAAUUUCUGGUGUACAGCACAAUACUUCACUCACAUAGGAACUUAUUCUAAAAGAAGGAGAUGCUGGUUCGCUGUAGAAGAAAAGACCUGAGAAAGAAGUAGGUAAAUGAGCCUCAGGCCCCAAACAGCUCAGAGAGUAAAGCUUUCAGGCAUAUUAUUUCUACUCGUGUAGGAAAGAAAGAGCCAAUGUAAACAAUUCACUUUUUGAUAUAAAUCUCUAUCCAUCAUGACACUGGUUUGGUGGCCGGGCUCGGAGAAGAGAAGCAAUGUCAAAGGACUCCGGAGCCAGACUGCCUGGAUUCAAAUCCUAGCUCUACCGCUUCCUGACCAUGUGAUCCAGGGCAGGUUUCUUGUUGCCUCUGUGACUCUGUUUCCUUGUCUGUGAAAAAGAGAUAAUAGUACCUACUUUAGAGAGUCGUCAUGGGGAUUAAAUGAGUGCAUUGUAUAUAGAGCAUUUAGAGCAAGCAUUUAGAAUAGUGCCUGGCACAUAGUAAGUACCAUAAGGGUGUUUGCUAUAUCACCAUCAUCGUCACCACCACCACCAUCAUCAUUACCAGGUGCUCAAACAUGGUGUGGCAAAUAUAUCAACAGUGGUCUUAUAUGUAGACAUUCUUAGGGCUUUCAUGUAGAAAUGGAAGAUACUAGAUUCGAUUUCUAUUAGACUUUGCUGUAUAAAAUGAUUCUUAGAUCACCUAGGUUUAUUUCUAUUUUAGAAUUUGAGUGGUAAUUUAUAAGUUAACCAACAGACGUGCUGCUAGCAUUCUAAAUCAAAUGAUAAACAGAAACAGAGAGACUAACCCCUAUCUUAAAAAAUCUGAAGAUGGGAGUAGCAAAAAAUAGGAGAUAAUCCUACUUCCAUUAGGGAAACUUGGGUUUGGAGUUUAUAGCAUAAAAAUAGCUAAUUUAUUUGGGGGUAAUAUCGGUAGAGGUAAACUAAGGCUCAUAGAGCACAGUUCUGAUAGAUUCCCACAGACUUAAAUGUUCAUUCCUGCUUUCUUCAAAGAGUUGGAAUGGAUGCUCUCUGAUCCCCUUGAGGGCAUCUCACCUCCACAGGGGUGAGAGAGGCUUUAUGCCUUUAAGGCAACUUGGUUCAACUCUGCCUGCUUACUGAUGGGGGAGCCCUGGCAAAACUCCAGAUGUGAUUAGUGUUGUAUCUGUUAUUUCACAGGGUGGGGUGUGUUUGUGUGGAUGGAGGGGGAAGCCUAUAAUUUCAUAGCUGUUAGAAGAGCAUUUCUACUAAACCUCUUUUUAUUCUAAAAAUUGAUGAAAAGAUCUCAAUGUUCAAGAUGAUUUGAGGACAUUCUACUGUCCCCAGAAUAGAUUUAGUUACGGUUGUUAUUUACUCUUGAUGGCGCAAGUUGGAGGAGUGUAAAUAUUUCCUCCAAAAUAUCCAUUACUAUUUUGACCUUUUUUUUUUUUUUUUUGGUGAGAUCAAAACCAUCUUUUUAAUUAUUUGAACUCUGGAGAUUGUUUCCCAUAAAUAUAAAAAUCAGAGCUAUAAGCUUAGCCUAGACCAGUUAAGAAAUACUGCAUUUUAAAAUCAUAACACCAUUGUCUUGUUGAGGAAGAGUAUGACUUAGGUUAAACUGAACAUUGACUUAUAAACUAUUUCAAUUACUCAUAUUCAUUGCUGCCUUGUGAAGUAUAAGCAUUCUUAUUUUUCUAUAGAUUCUUUGAAUUACGUCCUAAAUGACUACCAUGUAAAUAAAUGAGAACAACAGUCACACCAUGCUUUUUGUCAUUUUCAUCAAAUGCUUAGUGAUCUCAUUGCACUUGUGGAAUUAAGUGAAGAAGCUCCACCCCGGCAUCCAUGGGUCAGCUAUGUGGACUCUAGCUGCCAAAGGCGCUUAUCCUUCUGAACAGAGCGCUUUGCUCAGCCAGUGUAGACAUGGCCUGAUAAACAAUGGAACUUCUCCCUUGAGAACUGGAGUUUGGAUUGAUCUAAUUCUUUAACUCAAAAAUGUGCACAGGUUUGAUGAGCGGUUAAAAUGCCUGCGUUUUAGUAAAACAGGAGCUUAAAUUGACAGUAAUGUGAAGAAUAGCAUAAUUUAUAAUGAACUUGAAAGGCAGUAGCACUCACUGUUGUGCAAGCUAAUCAAGGGACUAUCACAUCAAAGUUUGAACGUGAGCUUAAAUAUCUGUGGCAGGGAGGUUGUUCUUGCCGGUUUACAUCUGUCAGGUCUUAACACUGAACCUGUCAGAGUGCAACACGGCCAUGUCACUUUUAACAAAGAUGUCACAUGUCAUAGAUAUUGUGGGAAACAACCUGCUUUGUGUUUCCUUCUCUAGGAUUUUACAAGGAAAAGCAGAUGUAAAAGGAAUUUCUUUAACACUGCAUUUUUAUUUUGCAGAUUCUCAGACUGAUGGAGUGAGUGACGGAGUGGGUUGCCAACUGUAGUUGAUCCACUCAGCACAGAAUGGCUGCGGGGAAUAUAUUCAGACAUGCCCAGAGAAGUCUGCCCAGGGUGAAACAAAUACCUUUGAGGUUUAAAUCAGAAACGACACGAUUUUUGUUGCUAUAUUUUGUUAGAAAGGAAGGAGAGGCUGUUUCUACAGGUGUCAUAGGAAAAUCGAUACUGAGCCACGGAUUGUUGGAUCCCAUAGAACCAUGGAGACUUGGCAGUGAAAUUCUUCCAAAGGCAGACGGUGUUCCUAGGUUUGGGAGUAUAAAUCCCAGGGGAAGUGAGCUGAAGAACAUUUUAUGCAUCACUCAUCCUAUUAUGAGCCCUGUGCUGCUCCAUCUCUCUACAAGAUUGGCUGAAACAACCACCACAACAAAAAUUGUUCAUAAUUUGUGUUCUGACGUUGGAUCAUCUAGUUAAUACCCUGACUCUGAUUACCCGAAAGACAAUGCUCUAUAAGAAAGACUGUCCAUUAGAAGGUUGCUACUGCAUUAUUAGUAAAAUAACAGGGAAAAUGCAACAUUCUGCAUGUCCCAUCUGAUGAGUUGGCAGUUAAAGAACAGAAACAGAGAAAUAAGACUGCAUGGCUACAUUUUCCCAGUGCCACCAACUGGGAGUUAAGCUGACUAACAUUUUGAAAGCCCAGCCCAUUUCGUUCACAGCAGGCAUGGCAGCGGUUGACUGAUUGUACCUGCCAGCUGGUUAAUAUCAUAAUUAACAAAGUUACUACUAUGUCUGCAAAGUUUAAUCGAAAAAUUUGCCAGGGAUAUGAUGGCAUUGUCACAAAGAUCACAAGGGACUCGGAGUCGAUUUUUGCUCAAGGUGGAACGGCAAAGCUGUGUAGGCAAAAUGAGAAAUCUCGAACUUGUUCAGCCAAAGGUUAUGCUUCAUAUCACCCACCAGGGAGGAUCAUCUCUCAUGAAAACUUUCAAAUUUGAUUUUGAAAAUUAUUCAGAAAAAUUUAAGCCCUGCUAUCUCCCAGUGUAGGAAAGAAUAUGCUCUGGAGAGCCCUGUAAUUCAAAGAAAAUGGACUCAAAUGGAUAACACUUGAGUUCUCAUGCUACCAAACUCCUCUUGAGAAGAACAGCCAGGAGGCUAAUUACGGAGGGGCCAGAGAAGAGGCCGGUGCUACAGGGUUAUCUCGCAGCCUCAGAUGCUGGAUAAGUUGGGAGAGACAGAAUCGCUUUUGGGUGACAUUCAGAACAGCUGGAGUGAUUAUUUGGAAGAGAAAAGCCUACCUAUUCUUUUCCAAGGUGCGUGACUAUUCCCCCAGCCCGCCCAUCCCCUGAUGAAUUCUUAGCAGCCUGCCCGAGACAAAGGAUGCGCUCAGAGCCCCACCACACCUGGAGCCACGCUUUGAAGGAUCUGCCAAGCUCACUUUUAAUCGGGAGAACGAAAUUACCCACAUGGAGUCAGCAGAAAAUGAGAAAGUAGAGCUCGUGCUGCGAAUCAUUCCAGCAAGUGCCAAGGGGCUAGUUGAGGAAUGGCUUCAUGAGGAGGCAGUGAAGUUCCAAGAUCAUACUAUGGGUGGCAAGCAAGUCUGGAAGUGAGAGCUCUCAAAUCAGCACCUGAAGAUAUGUGAAAACCGUGAGUCAGCUCACAGGAGUCAGAGCACACUGUGCUAACUCUGAACUAUCAGUGUCCACCUGUUCCUCAUUAAUGUCAAAAUGUCCACUAGAGUCUCUCUUGAUGUUUAGAUUAGAUACAUUUAUGGGGAGUAGGAUGUAACUUUUGACUUGAACUUCCUGUUCCACUUGCUGUGUUAACUUGUUCUGGAAGCCUCUGUUUCUCUCAGUCUCUCUUGCACAAUCUGGCCCCUUCACAUUUACCUUCCUUCUGAAUUUCAAAAAAUUACAAGACAACUGAGAAACUGGUAGCAUUUGUUGCAUUUCUUUGAAUAUAAGCAAAACCAUUAGAGAACUGGUCUUUUUACCAAAGAAGAAGAUUUUGUGCUUUUCUGGAGCUAAUACAAAAUUGUCACUUGGACACUGUGGGAAUGACUAUUCAAACCAGCCCAUACAUUUAUAAAAAGCUAUACAUAUUUGAAGACAUAUAUCUUAACAUAUAAACACACAUAACCUCCCAUUUCUCUCCA
RNA transcript from Camelus dromedarius (Arabian camel), 17770 nucleotides. RefSeq lists it as uncharacterized. The transcript is spliced from 10 exons. NCBI's taxonomy places the organism in Eukaryota, Metazoa, Chordata, Mammalia, Artiodactyla, Camelidae. The record is from RefSeq and is a predicted model, not a curated record.